CCGGCAGCUGCCCCGUCUGAGAGGAGACGGUGCUGGAGGAGCAGCACAGGACGAGGAAGGGCUUCUCUUGCAGGCUCCUCAGUGAGGUGUCCCGCAGCAUCCAGCCUCCUGCAGCAGCCCAGAGAGUGGCCUGCCAGAGAGUUCCACCCACACCGGCACUUCAGCAAACUUUCCUGCAGCCAGGGCGCCUCGGCUGUACCAUCUCUAACAAGGGCCAAUGCUGCUCCCCAAGCUGGGACCCUCAGAGCCACACCAUGGCGGCUUGGAAGGUGGCAGGGCUGCAGAAGAGGCUGUGGAGGAACUUGGAGCGUGACUCCAAAGGACGACAAGCAGAGGAACCCUGGGCAUGUCAAGCCUCCCCUGUGCCCCUUUACCACCCCGUACCAGGGCCCUGCUUCUCCUGCAGGCUCUGAAUAAGCCUCCAAGUUGCCGCCAGAUUGCCCAGCACCCAGAUGACUUUCCAGCAAAGAAACUUAAGGAUGCAUAGUCCUUCAGGAUGGAUUUCUGCCUUUGCCCCAUGAAAUCUCCCGAGAUACAGACCCCAGAGCAUGGACCUCUCUUAGGUACUGGGCCACCCUCCUACCCCAGCCGGGCUUAGAAUUCUUCCCAGUGUAUCCCCCCCACCCUGGUCCAUCAGGACCCCCAGAUCCUCUUCCUCUCUCAAGUCAGUCUCUGCCACCUCACUCUUCAGCUGUCCUCUGUGCUGUGACAGUCCUUCUUACCACAUCUCCCCUGGCUGGCCUGUCCUUGAGGCUUGGGCUGAAACCAUCAGCAAGACCUUUGUCUCCUUUCCUACUGGCCUUCCCUGCUCCCCACCCGUAGGUCCCCACUCCAUGCCUUAUGGGUGGUCUGGCCCACACUCCAGCCAGAGCCACCAGGACAUUUCCAAAUUACAUCCUUCAAGAAUCAGGAAGAGAUUUCAGAAGGAAAUUGCUUUCUCCCCUGCUCAGUCCAAAUGAGACUAUUUUUUACUUGUCUUGCCCCUCCCCCACCUCUCUCUCUUGCAAUUUCAGUAAAAAAUGAGAACAGUAGAAAGCGGACCCCCUCGUUGGUCAGCCUUUCUCCCUCCUGAGGUCUGCAGAGGCCUGAAGGCAUCAGCUGGGCUAGGGCAGCACCGGCUCCAUUCCUGCGGACAGGCUGUACUCCAGGGCUCCAUAAGCCCAGAGGCCAGGUCCGGGGAGCUGCAGGAGAGGGCAGACUUGGGGGACAGGGGGAGCCUGUGGCUAGAGAGAGUCAGGCAAACCUGUGAAGUAGGAGCCUCACUUUGUCUCCUGAUGCCCCUCUCCCUCCAGGAAUGUCCUCCAUUGCCUCCAGGUCCCUACAGGUCUCAGGUCAGAGGCAAGACAUCCAGGACAUCUAAUGCUCCAUCUAUGCCACCUGUGCCAGGCCUCUGAAGGUCACCCCUUCAAGAAAGCACCAGCCUGAGUCAGGGGGCCCGAGCUCCAGCCCUGCUCAGAAUGCCACUGCUCUCUCUGCUUCAGUCGUCUCACCCAGAAGUGAGGCCACCUCCAGAGUUGGGGCCAGGAUCAGAUGGGAUGAUGCAGGUGCAGGCGCCUUGUAAAGAGUGCAGGCUGCUGUUUGCUGACCACUCAUGCCGUGCCAUGCCCUGUGCUGAGUGCUUAAGUGUGUAAUCUCAUUUUGUCUUCACAAGAAUCUUCCAGGAGAGUCUAUUGUCAUUUCAUCUAAAGAGAAGGGAUCAAAGCUCAGGGAGGCCAUGGAACUGCCUAAAGGCACACAGCGGCCGAGACCUCAAAUCCCUGUUCUUAACCCUGUUCACACUGUGUUGUCAGGUGCUAGUCUGAGUUUUGUUAAAGGUACCUUUGAAGAACUAUUGAUAUGGUUAGGCUUUGUGUCCCCACCCAAAUCUCAUCUUGAAUUGUAAUCCCCGUAAUCCCCACAUGUCAAGGAGAAAACAGGUGGAGGUAACUGAAUAGUGGGAUCAGUUUCCCCCAUGCUGGUAUCAUGAUAAUGAGUUCUUAUGAGAUCUGAUGGUUUUAUAAGGGGCUCUUCCCCUUGGCUGAGCUUCUUCUUCCUGCCACCUUGUGAAGAAGGUGCUUGCUUCCCCUUCACCUUCCACCACGAUUGUAAGUUUCCUGAGGCCUCCCCAGCCAUGCGGAACUGUGAGGCAGUUAAGCCUCUUUCCUUUAUAAAUUACCCAGUCUUGGACAGUUCUUUAUAGCAGUAUGAAAAUGGACUAAUACAAUUAUCACCCCAAGAGAUAAGUGCAGGAGGAAUUUCAGGCUGUGCAUGUGUGGAGGAGACACGGGGUUGAGGAGAGCUUCUAGAAUUCCUCAAAUGACAAUAAUAGUGGCCAACUUGUGCAGGCUGUGUGCUAACCUGCACACAGUUAGCCUGCACAGGUUAGCCACUAUUAUUGUCAUUUGCUAGCCACUCUGAUGCUGUGGCUGACUAUGUGCAGGACUCUGCUAAAUUCUUUCUCUUGUUAACUCAUUUAAUACUUACCAUCCUCUAAGACAGGUACUGUUAUCAUCUCCAGUGUGCAGAUGGAAAAGCUGAGGCACAGAGAGGUGGCUUAAGGCAUUCAAAGGCAUGUGACUAGUUAGCCUCUGCCCCUUACAGCCUCAGCCACGACACCGAGGGAGCUACUUCUCCUCCCACUGACUCCUCUUCCUGAACCAGAAUGUACCUUGUGGGAGUUGUGGGACAAGGAAUAAAUGGGGGGCUAAUUGUCAGAAUAAGAACCCCAGACCCAGGACCCACAGUGAGGAUGGGGAUGUCUCUGCCCUGACUUUCAGGUCAAAAUCACCUUCUCUGUCUAUCACACCCCUCUCCCCCGACACCCAACAUAACACCUAUAGUCCAUGCUGUUCAAGGCUGUGGUGCUGAAGGAGGGGGUGUGGACUGGGUACCCUGGGACACAGGGCUGCUUGGCUGUUAGUCUCCUGGUUCCUCCCACCCCACCCCGGAGCCUCCCAAUCUCCCUCUUGAGUGUGUCCCAUCUCUGGCUCUCUGUGCCAGUUGCCCUUGUUUCCCUUACCCCCAUCCAUCCCUUUUCCUGGCACCAAGCUUCAGAUUGCAGGGUCACCUCAGCCACUGGACAGUCACAGGGAGCCAAGGACAAAAGGACCAGUGACAUCACUUGGGAAUGAGACCAGGAAGUUCAAGCCUGGCUGACGGGGCCAGGGAGGGGAGAGCUAACCAGGAGAUGACAGGUUCACCAACCUGUCAACAAGAGUGUAUCUAGACCCAGCAAUGCUAGGCUGUGGCUGAGCAAGUCACAUGGACUGUUAACCAAGGGGUCUAUCGGGGCAGCAGCAGCAAGGGACCUCCCCUGUAAUGCAAGACUUCUGUCACCUCAAGCUUCUUCUCCA
RNAcentral lists this long non-coding RNA (3332 nucleotides) under Homo sapiens (human). Its description in RNAcentral is "HSALNT0182091". Lineage: Eukaryota; Metazoa; Chordata; Mammalia; Primates; Hominidae. The record is from RNAcentral.